AACGACCGGGCCUCUUCCGGAGGCCUGCGGCAGAGUCGCCUAAGCAUUUGAAUGGAUCUCAGCCCUAGGACCCUGGCGCCCUCGGAAACCGGAUCUGAGGUCCUGAUCACUAACGUUCAGAGAUGCGAGGGAAGCAGAGAAGUUGCCGAAAGGGGCUGAGAGCUGCUUCUCCUUCUCCCUGGGCAGCAAACCUCCAAGCCUGUGCGGGCCAAUCUUUGCAUCCUGGUAACCAGCGCUUUAUUUAGCGCCUAAUCGCUUUCCUGUCCUGCAAUGGAGACUGAGGGGCAGAGGAGAGUGCAGCUUCCAAGAUCUCAAGGCUAGUAAUUGGUGAGAAAAUUCUGCACAGAACCAUUCCCAGAGGUGAGACUGUUUUUGUCCUUCAGCCCGGGAAAGGCAGACCUGGCUCCCUCCUUUUAUUUGCAAGCCUCAAAACCAUCAAGCCAGGCAAAGACACUCGAAGGGCGCGGACCUUCGCUGAGACGCCACCCACGCAAGUGGAGGAAGCACUUGCGCCACUGCUGAGCGGUUGGAAGGGGAACACUGCAGCGAUGACCCACGAGGGUCAACGAGACCAGGUGCCCAUUAGGGAAACAGAGAUGGAGAAGAAAUCACGCGCCAAGGUCUGAAAUUCGGCGUGGCUCUCACUCGACAUCUCCCCAUUGUCGCCACCCGUGCACCAGCCUGCAGCGGCGCACCAGGCUCGGUGCUGCACCUGCCUCCUGGCGCCUGCGCCACUGCCCCCGCGCGGGUCCCACCGCGCAGGACGCCCCUUCCUGCUUCCGACGUCUGCUGUGGAUCACACGCGGUCGCUGCCAAAGCCUCCAUUUCGGUUCUGACCCAGUGACUUUGGGGACGCCCAGGGAGGAGAUGUGGAGAGGAUGUGGCCAAGGUGAACCAGCCAGUGUAAGUGCUAAUGCUUCUGGCUUCUCGGUAACACCUACCCUGCCCCACCACCCAAAUCAGGCCUUGAUCAAAAAAGAAGCGUCUUGACAAUAUAUUUUUAGACAUAAAUAAGUUGAAGGUGCCCACGGAGGGAGGUUGAAAACAUUUGAUUAUCAGGACAGAGUAGAAGCCUCUUUGGCUCAUCCUUUUGGCCAGCUCUAAAGCAGCAGUGGACACUUCUUUGCGAUUUUGCAAGGAUGUUUGCGAAUGCGCUUUGUAACUCCUAGAAAAUAGGCAAAAAACCGUGAGUGGAUGUAGUCGCACCGCUGGCACCUGUAAGAACGCGCCCUAAAGCUGUGGAAAGUCUGGUCUUACUGCUAUUCAGGUUCCAGGCACACGUCUCAAGCCUCAAACCUCCAAGAGUUGCCUUAGCUGCUCAUUUUACUGGUAAGAAGACGGAGGUCAAGCCUGAAGAUAGUGGCUCUGCUGUUUUCUUUAGGCUGCUUGAAGCUUUAGAUAAGCAGGAAAAUUCCAUCAAAGAAAUCCCUGUAUGUAAAUUGGGAGAAAAAGAUAUGAUGAAUAUUAAUGCAGAGGCCUCUGAACAAAUGGAACCUCCAUUUUCACAUCCAGCACAGGAUCAUUUGCAGCCAGACAACCUGAGAGUCAACCCCAACUCUACCUUUUACUAAUUGCAUGAUAUUGGGCCUCAGUUUGCUCAUCUGUAAAUUGGGUGCAGUGAUAGAAUCUAUCCCACAGGGUUUUGCUGAGCAUUAAAUGAGUUUAAACUUGUAGAUGGCUUAGAAUAAUGCCUGGCAUAUAACAAGUACUCAGUUACUGGCGCCUGGUGUAAGUACUCGAUAUACAUUAACUAUUUUUCAAAGACACCACAGCUCACCUGGGAAGGAAUCUCAGGUAUUUGCCUGAGAUUCAAGCAAACAAAUAUGGAAGCUACCAAAGGCUCAUGAAGCCUGAAGGAUCCUUGCAGAGAGAUGUUCUAAAUGUUGCCUAGAAAGGCAGUUUGGAGGGAGGCCUCUCCAGUCUGAGGUCUGGAUGCUAAGUUUUACUCUGCCACAUAUUAGUCAGGUAAUUUUGAAGUAAUAAACAAUCUCUUUGUGCCUCCAUUUCUUCUUGUGUAAAAUGAGGGGCUGUUGUGAAGAUUAAAUAAAUACAUGUAAAGCAUUUAAAGCCAGACCUGGCAGAAAGGGUGCUUUAUGUUUGCUUUAAAAAUGUAUAUGUACAACAUUU
Molecule: long non-coding RNA, 2127 nt
Filed under: Pan troglodytes (chimpanzee)
Lineage: Eukaryota; Metazoa; Chordata; Mammalia; Primates; Hominidae
Description: lincRNA
Source: RNAcentral